Molecule: ribosomal RNA, 463 nt
Filed under: uncultured bacterium
Lineage: Bacteria
Description: bacterial SSU rRNA
Rfam family: Bacterial small subunit ribosomal RNA
Source: RNAcentral
GUAGUCACGUAGUUUGAUCAUGGACUCGAGAACGAACGCUGGCGGCAUGCCUAACACAUGCAAGACGAACGAGACCUUCGGGUCUAGUGGCGCACGGGUGCGUAACGCGUGGGAAUCUGCCCUUUGCUUCGGAAUAACAGUUAGAAAUGACUGCUAAUACCGGAUGAUGUCUUCGGACCAAAGAUUUAUCGGCAAAGGAUGAGCCCGCGUAGGAUUAGGUAGUUGGUGGGGUAAAGGCCUACCAAGCCGACGAUCCUUAGCUGGUCUGAGAGGAUGAUCAGCCACACUGGGACUGAGACACGGCCCAGACUCCUACGGGAGGCAGCAGUGGGGAAUAUUGGACAAUGGGCGAAAGCCUGAUCCAGCAAUGCCGCGUGAGUGAUGAAGGCCUUCGGGUCGUAAAGCUCUUUUACCAGGGAUGAUAAUGACAGUACCUGGAGAAUAAGCUCCGGCUAACUCCGUG